Long non-coding RNA from Anopheles merus, 970 nucleotides. RefSeq lists it as uncharacterized. The record is from RefSeq and is a predicted model, not a curated record. Lineage: Eukaryota; Metazoa; Arthropoda; Insecta; Diptera; Culicidae. The transcript has 3 exons.
UUUGCAAUUUAGAUGAUCAAAUAGUAUAGAUUUAUCAUUUCAUGAGCAACAUAAUACCGCCAGUACCUCAGUGUUGUGAUCUAACGAGUAUUUAAUAAUUGAAAUAAACUAUAUUUACGUUAUUGUGUUAUACUUGCUGUUUUGAGCAAUACGCUUGCUGUAAAUUUGAAUUCGGUAAACAAGUGACUUCAAGAUAUUCUAUUGUCCAUGCCCAAUCCCACCCAACUUGCCCCACCAGGGAUUUGCGAGUCUACGCCAGGGAACUGCGUUCAGUCCGAGAGUCCGGCAGUGAUCCAAAAUACCAAAAAGGUACACGCGGAAAUAUUCGUGACUGAAUAUAGAAUGUAACUUUUGGCGGCAUCUGAUAUCUGUAUGUCGCUGAUCUUCGUUGCUGCUUCGCUCCACGAUGGAUGUGGAUACGGGUGUCCUUGCUUGCUGGGUAGAUUGGUAUGAGUUCCACAAACUGCAAUGCGUUCAUACCAAUUUCCCACGCCAAUUGCUGACUUACGCUGUACCAGUCUGAGCAAUCUGCAGCACUCCAGAAGCACUCCUGGCAGUCCCCGUACCGCACAGGUGGUGCGUAGCAUAACGCCGAAUCGGUGGCUGCUGCCAGCAGGUGAGAACGAUUCAUGUGAACGACACGAUCACUCUACUGACGGUGAUAGAGACUACUUCCGGAGAUAGCUUUAAACUUGAACAACAGAACCAAACCAUAACCCUUACUUUGCACGAUGGCAUUUCAGCUGACAGUGUCCAUGCGGAUGGCGGAUGUGUAACGCCACAGCCAUCGGGCAGUGUUUAUACCGAGCGUUAAUGCUGUCGAACGAUAUGGCCGUUAUACCCGUGUUGAUAAUACACAAGAUUAAGUGAUAGGAAAAUCACACGCCGCGUAGGGCGUACCGGUCAUUGGACAUUGACAUUGUUAUGAAUCCUAUUCCUCUUGGUACAGGUGAAUGAAUAUACGUCGCUG